UGCGCUACCUGGUUGAUCCUGCCAAGGAAGCACACUUCGGUCAUAGAUUAAGCCAUGCAAGUGUUAGUUCCGAGUCAUCUAAACUGCGCACAGCUCAUUAACACGCCCAUAACCAACUCAGCAGCGGUCUUCGGACUUUCUAUGGAUAGCAGGAGUAAUUCUCGUGCUAAUACACGCUAUUGUUCCAGGAGAUAGGAGAGAUUCUGGAAAAGUUCACCCUUUGGGGGAAGCCGAAUGGAUGGGCGGCCUAUCAGCUAGUAAUUAGGGUCUUUACCUAGUUAGACUAUGACGGGUAUCGGGCGGUGACCGUUGUACUGCCGGAGAAGGGGCCUGAGAGAUAGCCACUAUGCCUACGGGGAGCAGCAGGCGCGAAACUUACCCAAUCGAAGAUCUCGGAGGUGGUGAUGACCAGUUCCAAUGUAAGACACCGUUUUACAGGGAUGGGACGUGAUACAAUAGGGUUGCGUGUAGUGUAAUUGAGGGCCAGUCUGGUGCCAGCAGCUGCGGUAAUUCCAGCUCAAUUAGUGUGCUCCCAUCUUGUUGCAGUUACAACGCCCGUAGUCUGAGUUCAAAUUUUUGGUGAUUGUUGAAAGGUCUCUAUGAAGAAAGCAAGACGCUUAGGGUAAGGAUCUGUGAAUGAGCUAGCGUAGUAAGACGAGUUUGUACUUCAGUGUUCAAGGUCAAGGAGAGUCGUUAGGGAUACUUAUAUUUAGUGACGAGCGGUGGAAUGCGUUGACUCAUUAGAGAUGAGCUAUAGCGAAAGCAGGUAUCAGGGAGAUCUCUGUCGAUCAAGGGCGAGAGUAGGUGUAUCAAACCGGAUUAGAGACCCGGGUAGUACCUACUGUAAACUAUGUCGACGAAGGUUUGCGAAGUAGCGCAGGACUUUAGAGAAAUCAAGUUUUGGGACUCUAGGGGAACUACGGCCGCAAGACUGAAACUUGAAAGAAUUGACGGAAGGGCACACCAGGGGUGGAGCCUGUGGCUUAAUUUGAAUCAACACGAGGAAACUUACCAGUACCAGAUGAUUUGGAUGAGAGACUGUCUGGAGGGCAUUCCCGAUUAGUUUUUUGGUGGUGCAUGGCCGUUGGUGGUGCGUGGGUUGUCCUGUCUGUUGGUCGAUUCAGCUAACGAGCGAGACUAUCAUUGGUUAUUACAGGGCUUUAGAUUUUUAGAGUCCGUGUUUAACCGAGACUGCCUGUGCAUUAACGGGAUGAGGUUGGUAGCAAUAACAGGUCCGUGAUGUCCUUUAGAUGCGCUGGGCUGCACGCGUGCUACAAUGAGGAUGGCAGUGUGUUUUUGAGAACACGAUAGUGUUGAGUACUCAAUAAUUGUUCUAGUGGUUGGGAUCGAUGAUUGUAAUUAUCAUUGUGAACGAGGAAUCCCUUGUAAACGAGUGUCAACAUCGCACGUUGAAUAAGUCCCUGCCCUUUGUACACACCGCCCGUCGCUCCUACCGAUUGAAUGAGUUGGUGAAAUUAUUGGAGUCUGUUUGACGAAAGUAAUUAAACCCAUUUAUUUAGAGGAAGGAGAAGUCGUAACAAGGUAACGGUAGGUGAACCUGCAGAAGGAUCAA
RNAcentral lists this ribosomal RNA (1573 nucleotides) under Staurojoenina mulleri. Its description in RNAcentral is "SSU rRNA". It matches the Rfam family "Eukaryotic small subunit ribosomal RNA". Lineage: Eukaryota; Parabasalia; Trichonymphida; Staurojoeninidae. The record is from RNAcentral.